CGAGUCUGGAACUCCCACUGACUUCAAAAGGAAACUUCUCACCCACGCCAGUAAAUAGAGGAGAACGAACUCCAGCAUUUGUGCGGGAGGCCUUUCAGAAGCCUCACUUCUCUUACAUUCAAGCAAAGAGAGACUUGGGCCACUUUACUUCUGACCGCCCCUCCUCUACUCUGAAAUCGGCUUCUUCUCUCAUUCUCCUGGAGGUUGCACUGAGCAGGGACUGGGAUGCAGAGAAGGAAAGGCACGACUGCUGGGAAAACAGUCUCCUCACAUCCCUUGCCAAAAAUGGAAAAUCCUGCUCACCAGCCAAGGAAGAGAGGGGCGUGAGGCCAACAGUGGCCUUGCCAUUCUUUCUCAGCUUCCGUUAUAGAUGUGCCACAACAUACAAUCAACUGGAUAUGAUGAUUAACUUGCAUUUGCUAAGAUCCUUCAAGAAUCUUAAAUAUCUAUUCGGCUUUGUCUCCACUUCAUGCUCAAUACUCCUCGAGAAAAGCAGCCCCUGAAUUUCCCAAGACCUGCAUCAGGCCCCUCUGCUGUUUAGGAGUGGUAAUGGAACCUAUUUUAUUUGUGGCAGCAACUAGAGCAUCAUCUACCAGACAUAAAGAAUUUUAGCUGGUGAAGAAAUGAGGGCGAAAAAGCAAGGAUUAGACCCAGCCUUAGUAACCAAUAAGAUGGCAGCCGCCAGCUACUUUGGCUACAAAUUACUGUUAACAGUUUACUAUCAGGAAUGAUCCCUCCAAGCAGGCCCUAUUAAAAAAAAAUAAUCACCAUCUGCUAGAGUCCCUUCUUUUUCAUUAAACUGGUCAUUAAUUACUGGUAACAAUUAAUUUAGUCUGGAUUUUAUUGAGUAAUUAUACAAUAAACAUGGGAGGAUAUCGUGCUUCCUGCCUUGCUGAGGGCAGGAAUUCUUUAUAAUGCUAUGUUUCAAAAGGGACUGUAAUAAACCACCAAAUUCCCAUUUAAUAUGGUAAUUAUGAUUCUAGAAAUUCAUCCUUCCUGCGCCUUAUUUCAGCUUAGCUCAGCCUGACUUAACUUGGGCCAUUAAAUAGCACUAGAGUCUUUACCUACUGGUAACAAUAGAUCUUCCAUGCAUUAUUGCCUAAUUAAUCAAGGUGCAUAAUUUGU
This is a long non-coding RNA of Choloepus didactylus (southern two-toed sloth), 1125 nucleotides long. RefSeq lists it as uncharacterized. NCBI's taxonomy places the organism in Eukaryota, Metazoa, Chordata, Mammalia, Pilosa, Megalonychidae. The transcript has 3 exons. The record is from RefSeq and is a predicted model, not a curated record.